UACGUAGGGUCCGAGCGUUGUCCGGAAUUAUUGGGCGUAAAGGGCUCGUAGGCGGUUCGUCGCGUCGGGAGUGAAAACUCGGAGCUCAACUCCGAGCCUGCUUCCGAUACGGGCAGACUAGAGGUAGGCAGGGGAGAGCGGAACUCCUGGUGUAGCGGUGGAAUGCGCAGAUAUCAGGAAGAACACCGGUGGCGAAGGCGGUUCUCUGGGACGGUACUGACGCUGAGACGCGAAAGCGUGGGGAGCGAACAGG
Molecule: ribosomal RNA, 253 nt
Filed under: uncultured bacterium
Lineage: Bacteria
Description: partial 16S ribosomal RNA
Rfam family: Bacterial small subunit ribosomal RNA
Source: RNAcentral